AAUAAGAUAGGAUAAGUAAGUCUAUUAGGUUCAUACCCUAAAGGUGUUUUCUCUUAUUAG
Molecule: transfer RNA, 60 nt
Filed under: Hypodontus macropi
Lineage: Eukaryota; Metazoa; Nematoda; Chromadorea; Rhabditida; Strongylidae
Description: tRNA-Met
Source: RNAcentral